CCUACGGGAGGCAGCAGUGGGGAAUAUUGCACAAUGGGGGAAACCCUGAUGCAGCGACGCCGCGUGAGUGAAGAAGUACUUCGUUAUGUUAAGCUCUAUCAGCAGGGAAGCAAAUGACGGUACCUGAGUAAGAAGGCACGUCUAACUACGUGACGGCAGCCGUGGUACCACGGAGGGGGCAAGCGUUAUCCGGAUUUACUGGGCGUAAAGGGAGCGUAGGCGGUAGUGCAAGUCUGGAGGGAAAGGCGGGGGCUCAACCCCCGGAGUGCUCUGGAAACUGUACGGCUGGAGUGCAGGAGAGGUAAGUGGAAUUCGUAGUGUAGCGGGGAAAUGCGUAGAUAUUAGGAGGAACACCGGUGGCGAAGGCGGCUUACUGGACUGUAACUGACGUUGAGGCUCGAAAGCGUGGGUAGCGAACAGGAUUAGAUACCCCGGUAGUC
RNAcentral lists this ribosomal RNA (440 nucleotides) under uncultured bacterium. RNAcentral's name for it is "partial 16S ribosomal RNA". It matches the Rfam family "Bacterial small subunit ribosomal RNA", at positions 338 to 795 of the family's 1533-position model. The record is from RNAcentral.